Molecule: ribosomal RNA, 409 nt
Filed under: proteobacterium M12-3
Lineage: Bacteria; Pseudomonadati; Pseudomonadota
Description: bacterial SSU rRNA
Rfam family: Bacterial small subunit ribosomal RNA
Source: RNAcentral
UAUGACCGCUGGCGGCAGGCCUAACACAUGCAAGUCGAGUCGAUAAAGGUCUUCGGACUGAUUAAAGCGGCGGACGGGUGAGUAACGCGUGGGAAUCUACCCAGUAGUGGGGGACAACAGUUGGAAACGACUGCUAAUACCGCAUACGCCCUAAGGGGGAAAGCAGGGGAUCUUCGGACCUUGUGCUAUUGGAUGAGCCCGCGUGAGAUUAGAUUGUUGGUGGGGUAAUGGCCUACCAAGUCGACGAUCUCUAGCUGGUCUGAGAGGAUGAUCAGCCACACUGGAACUGAGACACGGUCCAGACUCCUACGGGAGGCAGCAGUGGGGAAUAUUGCACAAUGGGCGAAAGCCUGAUGCAGCCAUGCCGCGUGUGUGAAGAAGGCUCUACGGUUGUAAAGCACUUUCAGCG